Molecule: ribosomal RNA, 207 nt
Filed under: uncultured bacterium
Lineage: Bacteria
Description: partial 16S ribosomal RNA
Rfam family: Bacterial small subunit ribosomal RNA
Source: RNAcentral
AGCGCAGACGGUUAUUUAAGUCUGAAGUGAAAGCCCUCAGCUCAACUGAGGAAUUGCUUUGGAAACUGGAUGACUUGAGUGCAGUAGAGGAAAGUGGAACUCCAUGUGUAGCGGUGAAAUGCGUAGAUAUAUGGAAGAACACCAGUGGCGAAGGCGGCUUUCUGGACUGUGUCUGACGCUGAGAUGCGAAAGCCAGGGUAGCGAACG